RNAcentral lists this ribosomal RNA (497 nucleotides) under uncultured bacterium. Its description in RNAcentral is "partial 16S ribosomal RNA". It matches the Rfam family "Bacterial small subunit ribosomal RNA", at positions 28 to 507 of the family's 1533-position model. The record is from RNAcentral.
GAUGAACGCUGGCGGCGUGCCUAAUACAUGCCAGUCGAGCGAACAGAUGAGGAGCUUGCUCCUCUGACGUUAGCGGCGGACGGGUGAGUAACACGUGGAUAACCUACCUAUAAGACUGGGAUAACUUCGGGAAACCGGAGCUAAUACCGGAUAAUAUAUUGAACCGCAUGGUUCAAUAGUGAAAGACGGUUUUGCUGUCACUUAUAGAUGGAUCCGCGCCGCAUUAGCUAGUUGGUAAGGUAACGGCUUACCAAGGCAACGAUGCGUAGCCGACCUGAGAGGGUGAUCGGUCACACUGGAACUGAGACACGGUCCAGACUCCUACGGGAGGCAGCAGUAGGGAAUCUUCCGCAAUGGGCGAAAGCCUGACGGAGCAACGCCGCGUGAGUGAUGAAGGUCUUCGGAUCGUAAAACUCUGUUAUUAGGGAAGAACAAAUGUGUAAGUAACUAUGCACGUCUUGACGGUACCUAAUCAGAAAGCCACGGCUAACUACGUG